Molecule: ribosomal RNA, 253 nt
Filed under: uncultured bacterium
Lineage: Bacteria
Description: partial 16S ribosomal RNA
Rfam family: Bacterial small subunit ribosomal RNA
Source: RNAcentral
UACGUAGGUGGCGAGCGUUGUCCGGAAUUACUGGGUGUAAAGGGCGUGUAGGCGGGACUGUAAGUCAGAUGUGAAAUCCCGAAGCUUAACUUCGGAGCUGCAUCUGAAACUAUGGUUCUUGAGUGCUGGAGAGGAAAGCGGAAUUCCUAGUGUAGCGGUGAAAUGCGUAGAUAUUAGGAGGAACACCAGUGGCGAAGGCGGCUUCCUGGACAGUAACUGACGCUGAGGCGCGAAAGCGUGGGGAGCAAACAGG